AUUGAACGCUGGCGGCAGGCCUAACACAUGCAAGUCGAGCGGAUGAAGUGUGCUUGCUCCUGGAUUCAGCGUCGGACUGGUGUGUAAUUCCUAGGAAUCUGCCUGGUUGUGGUUUAUAACGUCCUGUAACGGUCGCUAUUACCGCAUACGUCCUUAGGUUGAAAGUUUUUGUUCUUCUGACCUCACGCUAUCUUAUGUGCCUAGGUCGGAUUAGCUAGUUGGUGGGGUAAAGGCCUACCAAGGCGACGAUGCGUAACUGGUCUGAGAGGAUGAUCAGUAAAACUGGAAGUGAGAAACGGUACAGACAACUACGGGAGGCAGCAGUGGGGAAUAUUGGACAAUGGGCGAAAGAAUGAUAGAGCAAAGCCGAGUGUGUGAAGAAGGUCUUAGGAGUGUAAAGAAAUUUAAGUUGGGAGGAAGGGAAGUAAGUUAAUAACUUGCUGUAAUGACGUUAACAACAGAAUAAGCACCGGCUAACUACGUG
Molecule: ribosomal RNA, 484 nt
Filed under: uncultured bacterium
Lineage: Bacteria
Description: partial 16S ribosomal RNA
Rfam family: Bacterial small subunit ribosomal RNA
Source: RNAcentral